This is a long non-coding RNA of Chinchilla lanigera (long-tailed chinchilla), 775 nucleotides long. RefSeq lists it as uncharacterized. The record is from RefSeq and is a predicted model, not a curated record. The transcript is spliced from 3 exons. Lineage: Eukaryota; Metazoa; Chordata; Mammalia; Rodentia; Chinchillidae.
AACUCCCGCCACCCCACACAGUGCUGGCUGACUGAGGAGAGACUCUGCUUGCCGCCGUGGGCAUCUCUGUCAACGUUCAUUCUCUGUCCCUCAUGCCUGGUAUUCGUGGAGACCCAUGAUUGAAAUUUUUCAGGGUUGACUCAUGGUAUUAAGAUAGCUGCUGCAAUUCCAGAUAUUGCAUCCUUCUGAAAAGGUUUCCUGGAGAGAAGCCGACAUUCUUUAGGACUACAGUGCCUGUGAAUAACAGAAACCCAAAACACCAGGGGAUUAAUUGAGCUUGAGAUCCUGGUCGAAGAUGGUGGCAACUGCAUUGUGAGUUGCAGGCUAUAGAAGGAGGAAAUGAGAGGUCAGGGACAUGCAUAUGCUGCUCUGAAGGACGUUCCUAAGAAGCUGGUGACAGUUCCAGUUGUGUUCCAUCCACCAGAACUAAGUACAUGGCCACAACUACUUCAGGGGAUUGGGAGUCAUUAUCGUUCUUCUGUGUGAUCUGGGAGCAGCUGAGAACAGGGAUCUCAUGCAGUGCAGUGCACCGCUUGGGUGCUAGAAUGAUUCUAGUCCUGUAAAGAGUGUCUCUUGCCUUACUCUCACUUUUCACACAAGGCGAGGAUCUCCAGAUACGUCCCUUUCAUCUCCUUGGGCACAGCAGUGCUGAGUAAGGUUCCCCAGCUGCAAUCGAGGCUGGAGGGAGAAUCUGUCCUUACAGUCUCUGUCAUGGGCAGGUGCCUAAUAGCUAGAUAAGCGAGGAAGUGGGUUUUUUUUUUAAAGCAUCCAACAG